UCUUGUAAACAAUGGAUCGUUGUCUGGUGAACUGGCAUUGAAUUUCUCGAUUGCUCAUCAUUUUUGAGUUUUCAAUGUAAGUGAUGAUGCCCAAGAUCCAAUGCAGUCACAUCAUUCAAAUUCAGGCCUGACAGCAACAAGAAACAUGAGGCCUCCAGCAGAAUCUGUGGAUGUUUGUGAUGUAUUGAAGGAAUAAUUUCUCCAGGUGGAGCUCACGAAUGGGAAGAUGGAAUGAUCUAGGAAUGUAUUUUGAUUGUUAUAGGCCUACUGUACAAAUUGCAUUGAAUAAAAUCCUUUUUUUACU
Penaeus vannamei (Pacific white shrimp) is the source of this 304-nucleotide long non-coding RNA. RefSeq lists it as uncharacterized. The record is from RefSeq and is a predicted model, not a curated record. Lineage: Eukaryota; Metazoa; Arthropoda; Malacostraca; Decapoda; Penaeidae.